This 2620-nucleotide long non-coding RNA is filed under the name Linum usitatissimum (flax). RNAcentral describes it as "long non-coding RNA (LUSI_LNC007567)". Lineage: Eukaryota; Viridiplantae; Streptophyta; Magnoliopsida; Malpighiales; Linaceae. The record is from RNAcentral.
AAAAUUCCAAACUUCUCUCUGCUUGAUUAGGAUUGUGAAGUUUCUGUUAGGGUUCUGUGAGCUUCGAUGGCCUACUGUGUGCAUGACAAUUCAGUCGCAUGACUUGAGGGAAAACUCAUUCCUUGAUUCUCUAAUGAUCGAGAUUGUCAAAAGAUCUGGUAAGCUCCUUUUGAAAUGCAUUUGAACUUUGAAGUGUUACUCUACUCAGGAUGUAGCUGAGUUAACAAUCAAUCGCUUUUCCAUUAUUUCACAAGGUUUCAAGUGUUAUUCAGCCCUUUAGGGAUGCAGUUGCAUGGCAAAGUGGCAUAUAUAGAUGUGUCGUGAUUAAUGUUUCUCUUAUCCUUCUUUCUUUCUUUCUUUCUUUCUAUUAGUAUGUCCUUUGUUGUUUAUCCAAUGUCAUAUAACUAUCUGUUAAAAGCAAGAGCUGUAAAUCAUCAUUGCCUUUCUUUUGGGGAUUCACAUGAUAAUUCCAUUCCAGAUCUUUAAAGCGUAUAGUUUUUGUUGGUCUACUCAGGUGAUUUUUGUUUUUUCUUCGUGGCUUGAUGGAAGGCUAAGUGCUAACUAACUCUGGAAAGAAAAGAAUUGAUCUUUAGAAAUUAAAAGCAAUAAGGGUUCAACCAGUGAAGUACCCCAAAUGGUCUUCUCUCAGCUGCGCUUAUGAGUUUGGAUGCUGCAUAUAAGUAGCCAUUAUUCUGUCAAGUGCCUAUCUUUCUAUAGACUGUUACUCAGAGGAUAAAACUUACACUGAACAGUUUCUAAGGUUGAUAUUUGUGUGGUCACCCUGCAUAGAAUUCUAGAAUGAAUUUGUUAUCUCACACUUCCCCGCACAUUAUUUCAGCCUCUCAGGUGCCUUGAUUUAGCAAGCUGGACGGUUAGCGCAUUUAUGUGGACUCAUGAAAGUUACGUCAAUUAGCUAAACCAAGGUAACAUAGCUGGCUGGUUGGUACCUUCAAUAUGAGAACUAGCUUCCCCCCUGGUUUGUUGAAGACAUGCAAAGAACUUGAACUUACUUAGAAGCUGAACAUGUCCAUAACUGUUCGAGAAGACAAUGAGACAAAAGUCAAAACAAUGUUCAUCCUGCUAAUGUGUCUGGUGGAAACAGAAAAUUUGAGACAACGUUCACCCUGCUAGGAGCAAAACCUUGCUGAUGCGACCGCAACGAGCAGUCAGAAACCUGUUUACUAAUCACAAGCAAUCUUGAUCCUGUUUGUCUAUGGUUCAGAUAAAUUAGCAUGGCCGGAGCGGAGGAGACCCAUUGUUAAUUAGAGAUCAUGAAGAAUGGUUCAAAGGAGCAACUUGUGGAGUUCUCAUAAUUGGUUGGGUAAUGACCGUACGACCGCCAUAUGAUUUGUUCAUUUCAGCAAGAGACUGGAUGUGCUCGACGAUGUUUGACCAAGCAAGGGUAAAUUAGGUUACAAAGUAUCCAACUUUACCACCUUGGGGAUGAAACCUAAAGACCUAAUGCAUGGGCCGACGUUGAAGGUACAAAGAAUCCAUGCGAGAUUUAUCUAUUUGUGGUAACUGUAUUGGCAUCUAUACUACAGUUUGCUGAUUGCAUUCGUCAUCCAUCUCCAGAAAUUGUGGUGCUGGGGUAAUCGCUUUGAGCAACUGCAUCUGGCAAAGGGAAGAUGAGAUGAGCUUUGAUGCAGGACAGGCUAUGAAGGUAUGAAACGUUUUCAUAUGUGCUGCUCUCAUGAAGGUUUUUUUAUCCGACGAAUAUUUUAGCAUUUUAUUCGUCAAUGCUCAUACCCGCAUCCCAUGCAGAAAGCCUUUAUUUGUUGAAUAAAAGUGAAGUCAUUGAAGCAGGGAGCAUUUCCAACCUCAUGCUACCGUCCUCGCAUGAUAGACGCAAAAUGUUAAUGGAGAGGUUUCAGGAUGCCAUUUGCAAUUGAGUAACCAGUCGCCUUUGAAGAGCAAGCCAAAGAAUAAAACAAUAUACUUAUGAAUAACAAGGAUUUUCCACAGCAAAUCUGCCCAUGGAACAACAUCCUCCUGAUAUGCCGGAAGAUGAUUUAACGGUUUAGCUGGUUAGCUUAAUUGUUCAUCUCCUAUUGUGGCGGAAGCUAGAGCUCUUCUUGAGGCCAUGGAAUUUGCUAAGACUCAGGUCUAUAGUCAAGACUGACUAUCUGGCUCUUGUGCAAGCGUGUUCAGGGUGCGACAGUGACUGGCCAUGGCAGUGCUAAGCUUGGAUUAGCCGAAUCAAGGAGAUUUUACUUCAGUCAGACCAUAUAUAUGUUUAUCUUUUAUCCCGCUGAGUCUCAACCAUUUAGCGGCUUGGGUUGCUAAAUCAUGUAGAGCUGGUGGUUUGACUCCAAGGUGGAUCCAGAUUUUAUGUAUUACCAUGUAUAUUUGUAAGGCUUUGCCAUGGUUUAAGAUGAAUAAUACACACAUUUGUUUCAAAAAAAAACAUCCUCCUGAACCCGGAAAGUUUGGCACACAUUUGACUAUUUGAGACAGAAUACGUAGGCAUGUAAUUCCCGAGAUCCCAUUCCCGUCCUGUUUUCCACCCCUACAUUCGAGACAGAAUACUUAGGCACGUAAUGCCCCUGCCACAAGGGGGAAGCGUCGAUAUGCAUGAGACAAAUAAACGAAAACUGUCGCGGCAUCUGAUGGUUCGUCA